RNAcentral lists this ribosomal RNA (222 nucleotides) under uncultured eukaryote. RNAcentral describes it as "partial 18S small subunit ribosomal RNA". It matches the Rfam family "Eukaryotic small subunit ribosomal RNA", at positions 1485 to 1707 of the family's 1831-position model. The record is from RNAcentral.
UUCCGCACGCGCGCUACACUGAAGGAAUCAUCGUGUUCUGACCUACUCCGGGCGGAGCGGGUAACCCGUUGAACCUCCUUCGUGCUAGGGAUUGGGGCUUGUAAUUCUUCCCCAUGAACGAGGAAUUCCCAGUAAGCGCGAGUCAUAAGCUCGCGUUGAUUACGUCCCUGCCCUUUGUACACACCGCCCGUCGCUACUACCGAUUGAAUGGCUAAUCCCGCG